RNAcentral lists this small RNA (95 nucleotides) under Salmonella enterica. Its description in RNAcentral is "partial RtT sRNA". It matches the Rfam family "RtT RNA", at positions 1 to 91 of the family's 130-position model. From Rfam's summary of the family: This family represents a bacterial cis-regulatory element known as RtT RNA. The exact function of RtT is unknown although it is thought that it may be involved in changing the cellular response in relation to amino acid starvation. The record is from RNAcentral. Lineage: Bacteria; Pseudomonadati; Pseudomonadota; Gammaproteobacteria; Enterobacterales; Enterobacteriaceae.
UGCAUCUGAAGUCUGACGAGGAUGAGAACCUCCGGGGGCAAGAGGUUCGACUCGAGCGAAGCGAGAGAACGUUGCGUCAGCAACGGCCCGCAGGG